This is a long non-coding RNA of Dermacentor silvarum, 576 nucleotides long. RefSeq lists it as uncharacterized. Lineage: Eukaryota; Metazoa; Arthropoda; Arachnida; Ixodida; Ixodidae. The transcript has 3 exons. The record is from RefSeq and is a predicted model, not a curated record.
GUUCUUUAUUCCAUGACGGCGGCAAGCCUGCGACCGUCGAAACGCGAGUGGGAUUUUUCUCUUGCGUCCGUUGCGCCUGUGAUACCCGACAACUGUAGCAGCAUGUCAUCUGAUCCGACUUCAACUGAAGGCUCGCCGACUGAUGCGGAAGCAGUUUACCUCGUUUCGCACGGGCCACCAAAGAAAAUUGUGAAGUUCACAGGCGCCCGGAAGCUCGCCGACCUUCACGAAAGUGUGCGGAUGGGUGGGUUCGCGCACCUGAUGGCAUGCAACGAUCUCCUAAUACAGCAUGCUGGAAGCUGCACAGGGGAGUUGGCAAGGGGGCACAAGGAAGCAAUGCCCCGUUGCUGUCCGUAGGGUGAACGCAAGGCGGCUCGUGGCGGCCGCAAUUUCUACGCUGCGCUUUUCAUCUCUGAAGCCAUGCGCAGCAGCGUGCUGUCGUCAUGUUCAGAAAAGCAGUGCAAAGAUGCAAAAGGCAUGAGCGCCAUCAUGGUUCUACCAUUUCUUGUCAAUGAGCGAGGGGACGACAUGUUCACAAAAAUGGUUAGUACUUUGAGCUGCUUACACGACCAAGUA